CCUACGGGCGGCAGCAGUGGGGGAUAUUGCACAAUGGGGGAAACCCUGAUGCAGCGACGCCGCGUGUGGGAAGACGGUCCUCUGGAUUGUAAACCACUGUCCCCAGGGACGAAGAUGACGGUACCUGGGGAGGAAGCUCCGGCAAACUACGUGCCAGCAGCCGCGGUAAUACGUAGGGAGCGAGGGUUGUCCGGAAUUACGGGGGGAAAAGGGAGCGUAGGGGGGGUUGCAAGCUGGGUGUCAAGACUACCGGUUCAACUGGUAGUCGCACUCAAAACUGCAGCUCUUGAGUGAAGUAGAGGCAGGCGGAAUGCCUAGUGUAGCGGUGAAAUGCGUAGAUAUUAGGAGGAACACCAGUGGCGAAGGCGGCCUGCUGGGCAUUUACUGACGCUGAGGCUCGAAAGUGUGGGGAGCAAACAGGAUUAGAUACCCCAGUAGUC
RNAcentral lists this ribosomal RNA (440 nucleotides) under uncultured bacterium. RNAcentral describes it as "partial 16S ribosomal RNA". It matches the Rfam family "Bacterial small subunit ribosomal RNA", at positions 338 to 795 of the family's 1533-position model. The record is from RNAcentral.